RNAcentral lists this transfer RNA (72 nucleotides) under Crassvirales sp. Its description in RNAcentral is "tRNA-Arg". It matches the Rfam family "tRNA". Rfam says of the family: Transfer RNA (tRNA) molecules are approximately 80 nucleotides in length. The record is from RNAcentral. Lineage: Duplodnaviria; Heunggongvirae; Uroviricota; Caudoviricetes; Crassvirales.
UUCCCCUUAGUUCAGCGGAUAGAACCUGGGAUUUCUAAUCCCAUAACGUGUGUUCGAUUCACACAGGGGAAA